RNAcentral lists this unclassified non-coding RNA (253 nucleotides) under uncultured Anaerolineae bacterium. Its description in RNAcentral is "contains 16S-23S intergenic spacer region". It matches the Rfam family "Bacterial small subunit ribosomal RNA", at positions 524 to 776 of the family's 1533-position model. The record is from RNAcentral. Lineage: Bacteria; Bacillati; Chloroflexota; Anaerolineae.
AACGUAGGACGCAAGCGUUAUCCGGAGUUACUGGGCGUAAAGGGCGUGUAGGCGGCGCUUCAAGUUCGUCGUGAAAGACCCCGGCUCAACCGGGGGAGGUCGAGGGAGACUGAGGCGCUGGAGGACGGUAGAGAGACAGGGAAUUCCGGGUGUAGUGGUGAAAUGCGUAGAUACCAUCAAGAACACCGAUUGCGUAGGCAGCUUACUAGGCUGUAACUGACGCUGAGGCACGAAAGCGUGGGGAGCGAACAGG